RNAcentral lists this ribosomal RNA (253 nucleotides) under uncultured bacterium. RNAcentral's name for it is "partial 16S ribosomal RNA". It matches the Rfam family "Bacterial small subunit ribosomal RNA", at positions 524 to 776 of the family's 1533-position model. The record is from RNAcentral.
CACGUAGGGCGCAAGCGUUGUCCGGAAUUAUUGGGCGUAAAGAGCUCGUAGGUGGUUUGUUACGUCCGCUGUGAAAACCUAGGGCUUAACCCUGGGCUUGCAGUGGAUACGGGCAGACUAGAGGUAGGUAGGGGAGAAUGGAAUUCCUGGUGUAGCGGUGAAAUGCGCAGAUAUCAGGAGGAACACCGGUGGCGAAGGCGGGUCUCUGGGCCGAUACUGACGCUGAGGAGCGAAAGCGUGGGGAGCGAACAGG